GAAGAAGGUAACUCUGGAAGUUGGCCCUUGUCUAUGUUCCUUGGAACAGGACGUCACAGAGGGUGAGAAUCCCGUGCGAUGGGGUGUCCAAUUCUAUGUAGAGUGCUUUCGAAGAGUCGAGUUGUUUGGGAAUGCAGCUCUAAGUGGGUGGUAAAUUCCAUCUAAAGCUAAAUAUUGGCGAGAGACCGAUAGCGAACAAGUACAGUGAUGGAAAGAUGAAAAGAACUUUGAAAAGAGAGUGAAAAAGUACGUGAAAUUGUUGAAAGGGAAGGGCUUGAGAUCAGACUCGGUAUUUUGCGAUCCUAUCCUUCGUGGAGAGGUUUCACUUGCAGCUUACCGGGCCAGCAUCGGUUUGGAUGGUAGGAUAAUGACAUUGGAAUGUGGCUCUUCGGAGUGUUAUAGCCUUUGUUGAUACUGCCUAUCUAGACCGAGGACUGCGUCUUUGACUAGGAUGCUGGCAUAAUGAUCUUAA
RNAcentral lists this ribosomal RNA (472 nucleotides) under [Candida] sp. Its description in RNAcentral is "Candida sp. (in: Saccharomycetales) partial large subunit ribosomal RNA". It matches the Rfam family "Eukaryotic large subunit ribosomal RNA", at positions 151 to 643 of the family's 3401-position model. Lineage: Eukaryota; Fungi; Ascomycota; Saccharomycetes; Saccharomycetales. The record is from RNAcentral.